This 301-nucleotide ribosomal RNA is filed under the name uncultured bacterium. RNAcentral's name for it is "partial 16S ribosomal RNA". It matches the Rfam family "Bacterial small subunit ribosomal RNA", at positions 509 to 807 of the family's 1533-position model. The record is from RNAcentral.
CAGCCGCCGCGGGAAUACAGAGGGUGCGAGCGUUAAUCGGAUUUACUGGGCGUAAAGCGUGCGUAGGCGGCUUCUUAAGUCGGAUGUGAGAUCCCUGAGCUUAACUUAGGAAUUGCAUUCGAUACUGGGAAGCUAGAGUAUGGGAGAGGAUGGUAGAAUUCCAGGUGUAGCGGUGAAAUGCGUAGAGAUCUGGAGGAAUACCGAUGGCGAAGGCAGCCAUCUGGCCUAAUACUGACGCUGAGGUACGAAAGCAUGGGGAGCAAACAGGAUUAGAGACCCGUGUAGUCCCUGUCUCUUAUAC